CAGCCCCUCGAGUGGUGGGGAUGAUUAUUUGGCCUAAAGCGUCCGUAGCCGUCCGAGUAAGUCCCCCGUUAAAUCCAGCGUCUCAAGCGUUGGACUGCGGGAGAUACUACUUGGCUAGAGAGUGGGAGAGGUCAGCGGUAUUCUGGGGGUAGGGGCGAAAUCCUUUGAUCCCCGGAGGACCACCAGUGGCGAAGGCUGCUGACUAGAACACGUCUGACGGUCAGGGACGAAAGCUGGGGUAGCGAACCGGAUUAGAGACCCGAGUAGUCC
This 270-nucleotide ribosomal RNA is filed under the name uncultured archaeon. RNAcentral's name for it is "partial 16S ribosomal RNA". It matches the Rfam family "Archaeal small subunit ribosomal RNA", at positions 477 to 747 of the family's 1478-position model. The record is from RNAcentral.